UUAAUAAAUCCGAAGAGUGGCGUUAGCUGAACUACCCGAGGGAAAAGUGAAAAUAAAGUGAAAUUCUUGAAAGAAGCAAAGGUACGUUAGUCCACCGUGGAAAGAUAAGGUUCUGACACAGUUUUAUUUAGGGAUAGGAGUACUGGAAAAUCUUAAUACAGCCAAGCCGGCCAACCAAUCUACGGUAUCAACUACUAAAACAACCAAGCUGACCGUUUGGGAGUUAGCGCAGUGCACAUCCACGGCGGCAAAGUGAAGGCUGAACCGUUGACGUUGGGCUAGCUCAAUAUCGGAAAUCAUUUACGGCUCGUGAAAGACCAACCACCAUACACCACUGCUGGACGUCCGAAUUUCAGUUUGAACCUGCCGAUCUCAUAAAAAAAGCCGGAGGACAUAAUCGUCACCAACCUACGAAAACUUACAAAGGAUUGAUGCAUACAAAUGAAUCCGUCAAAGUCAUCUUGGGCCCAACGAUACACCGAUGAGUUUAACCAAUUACUGUGAGUACCACUAGUGGCUGAAACCACAAUGUCUAUACACCAAUGCAGGCGUAAGUUUGUUGAAGUAGAUAUAUAUAUACUGAUUUGAAAGAAUAUUACCCCCCUCAAAUGCUCAAAUAAUUAAGUUUUUUUUUGCUGAUCCAAGAAGAAGGAAGUCUGUAUAUUUUUGUUUAUUUGUAAAUGUAAGGAAUCGGAUUAUAUCUGUAAUUAAUGUAAAAAAAAAAAAUAUAUAUAUAUCAAUACAAUCUCACAUGGUUAGGGACAUUUAACAUAAAAAUAAAAGGAAUUUGUAAUCAUGAAUAUGUCUGCCUAAACUAAAUAUUAUCUCCGUCCGUCAAGUACUUAUGCUUAUCUCCCUCAAAAUGCACUAGAAGAUGUUGGAUCUUUGAAUUGGGACAACGCCCGAAUGUAAACGCGUUUGUCAUGGUUGGGUGGGUAAAGACUAGGGACAUAUAUCACCGCUGUUCCCUCCAUCAGACAGAAGACGAACUACACUUUUUCUAAGCGUUUUCUAAAUGCGUAUCGGCGCAGAGUGGAAAUGAGUUUUUUUUAUUGGUUAUUGAUAUUAACGUCGAGAUCCUGCUUAUUUUUUUUUGAAGCGCAUUAUAUUGAUUUGUGUCAGGAAAACUGUGUAGCUAGGGGAGAAAGAACCCCGACCAAUCCGACGAGCUGGACCCGAGCACA
This is a long non-coding RNA of Drosophila pseudoobscura, 1184 nucleotides long. RefSeq lists it as uncharacterized. The record is from RefSeq and is a predicted model, not a curated record. NCBI's taxonomy places the organism in Eukaryota, Metazoa, Arthropoda, Insecta, Diptera, Drosophilidae. The transcript has 2 exons.